CUCAUGGCGAGUUCGAUCCUGGCUCAGGAUGAAUGCUAGCGGCAUGCUUAACACAUGCAAGUCGGACUGGAAGUGGUGUUUCCAGUGGCGGACAGGUGAGUAACGCGUAAGAACUUGCCCUUGGGAGGGGAACAACAACUGAAAACUGCUGCUAAUACCCCGUAGGCUGAGGAGCAAAAGGAGGAAUCUGCCCAAGGAGAGGCUCGCGUCUGAUUAGCUAUUUGGUGAGGCAAUAGAUUACCAAGGUGAUGAUCAGUAGCUGGUCCAAGAGGAUGAUCGGCCACACUGGGACUGAGACACGACCCAGACUCCUACGAGAGGCAAUAAUGGGGAACUUUCUGCAAUGGGCGAAAGCUUGACAGAGCAAUGCCGAGUGGAGGUAGAAGGCCCAUGGGUCAUGAACUUCUUUUCCCAGAGAAGAAGCAAUGACGGUAUCCAAGGAAUAAGCAUCGGCUAACUUUGUGCCAGCAGCCACGGUAAGACAGAGGAUGCAAGCAUUAUCUGGAAUGCUUGGGCGUAAAGCGUUUGUAGGUGGCUUUUCAAGUCCGCCGUCAAAUCCCAGGGCUCAACCCUGGACAGGUGAUGGAAACUACCAAGCUGGAGUACGAUAGGGGUGGAGGGAAUUUUCGGUAGAGCGGUGAAAUGAGUAGAGAUCAGAAAGAACACAACGGCGAAAGCACUCUGCUGGGCCGACACUGACACUGAGAGACGAAAGCUAGGGGAGUGAAUGGGAUUAGAUACCCAAUAUUCCCAGCCAUAAACGAUGGAUACUAGGCAUUGUGUGUAUCGACCAGUGCAGUGUUGUAGCUAACGCGUUAAGUAUCCCGCCUGGGGAGUAUGUUCGGAAGAAUGAAACUCAAAGGAAUUGAUGGGGGCCCGCACAAGCAGUGGAGCAUGUGGUUUAAUUCGAUGCAAAGCGAAAAACCUUACCAGGGCUUGACAUGCUACGAAUCCUCUUAAAAGAUAGGGGUUCCUUAGGGAAUGCGAAAGCAGGUGGUGCAUGGCUGUCGUCAGCUCGUGCCGUAAGGUGUUGGGUUAAGUCCCACAACGAGCGCAACCCUCGUGUUUAGUUGCCACCAUUGAGUUUGGAACCUUGAACAGACUCCCGGUGAUAAGCCAGAGGAAUGUGAGGAUGACGUCAAGUCAUCAUGACUUUAUGCCCUGGGCAACACACGUGCUACAAUGGCCGGGACAAACUGUCGCGAUCCCUUAUGGGUGAGCUAACUCCAAAACCCGUCCUCAGUUCAGAUUGUAGGCUGCAACUCGCCUGGAUGAAGCCAAAAUCGCUAGUAAUCACCAAUCAGCCAUACGACGGUGAAUUUGUUCCCUGGCCUUGUACACACCGCCCGCCACACUAUAGGAGUUGGCCAUGCCCAAAGUUGUUACCUUAACCACAAGGAGGGGGAUGUCGAAGGCGAGGCUAGUGACUGGAGUGAAGUCGUAACAAGGUAGCCAUACUGAAAGGUGCGACUGGAUCACCUCCUUU
Molecule: non-coding RNA, 1486 nt
Organism: Amborella trichopoda
Lineage: Eukaryota; Viridiplantae; Streptophyta; Magnoliopsida; Amborellales; Amborellaceae
Source: Rfam